Long non-coding RNA from Xiphophorus maculatus (southern platyfish), 336 nucleotides. RefSeq lists it as uncharacterized. The record is from RefSeq and is a predicted model, not a curated record. The transcript is spliced from 3 exons. NCBI's taxonomy places the organism in Eukaryota, Metazoa, Chordata, Actinopteri, Cyprinodontiformes, Poeciliidae.
UUAUGUUAUUGUUAUUUUUUCAUGUGCAGGAGAGGUUCAGAGGUGAUCGGCGGAGAAAGGGAGUGGCGUGAGUGCGCAGGGGCGCAGGAGCGCACACGGAGAGACAGGAGAGGACAGGACAGGACAGAGAGAAGACAGGGGAGAGAGAAGAAGAAGUUAGGAUCAUGAUGGAGCAUUCUGAAGUGGGUCAGCAGCAGAGUGGGACAGGUGCAGCAACAGAGUCGUGGUCCGCCUUCACCUUGCAAGCUACCAGCAGCUGAGCCGUGGAGGCUGCAACCUGCUUGGCAGAACAGAUGAGCUUCUCCUCGCUGGCGUGGCCCUGCACUGAAGCGUUCG